Molecule: long non-coding RNA, 206 nt
Filed under: Carica papaya (papaya)
Lineage: Eukaryota; Viridiplantae; Streptophyta; Magnoliopsida; Brassicales; Caricaceae
Description: long non-coding RNA (CPAP_LNC006151)
Source: RNAcentral
UCCUUGCCAGAAGAAAAACCUUUUCCUCAAGAUUCAAGUUGAUGAAUUGGUCUUGCAAUUCUUCUAAUACCCAUGCUUCUUGGUUUUCCAUUUAUCUAGGUGCCUCGUGCUCGGUGUCUUUUUCUUCUAUGUUGCCUUCGAAAAGCAAUAGUUGGGAUUGGUGACAUCUGUGGCCGAUUGAAAAUUUUUCACCAAAGUUAAAGCAC